ACGUUUUUUACAUGUUUGAUGAUCACCUUUCUGUUACUAACAACUUUUAUCACAAUGGUGGUAACUGAACCACAUAUAAUACAGGUUCCGUGUCAAAAGGGUUACGUAAAAGUUAGUGGAGUAUGCAGAAAGGCUUAUAAAUAAGAAUUAAAGUCUUACUGAAGAAAUGACAAUAAUGCGGUUGCAGUUUACAAUUGGAAAACAAUAGAAGCGAUUAUAAGCACAUAUUGUAAAUGAGCAAAUAAAAAUAAACUAUUGUA
Vollenhovia emeryi is the source of this 260-nucleotide long non-coding RNA. RefSeq lists it as uncharacterized. NCBI's taxonomy places the organism in Eukaryota, Metazoa, Arthropoda, Insecta, Hymenoptera, Formicidae. The transcript is spliced from 2 exons. The record is from RefSeq and is a predicted model, not a curated record.